AAACAAACUUUUAACAAUGGAUCUCUAGGCUCCUGCAUCGAUGAAGAACGCAGUGAAGUGCGAAAAGUAAUGCGAUUUGCAUGCUCUGUGAGUCAUCGAAUCUUUGAACGCAUAUGGCACCUUUUGGUCUUUACUGAAAGGUAUGCCUGUUUGAGAAUCAUUUAUCCCUUUGAUCCUUGUGAUCGCAGAUUGCUGAUCCCCUGGUCAAGACAUGGACCUUCAUCACUGAUCGUCUUGAAUCUAUGCACGGAUUGUUCGUGACAAAGAGGCGCACUUGUUGCGCUGUUGCUGUUGAUCGAUCAAUCCAUCCCUCACCAAUGAUCUCAAAUCAGGCAAGACUACCCGCUGAACUUAA
Molecule: small RNA, 355 nt
Filed under: uncultured fungus
Lineage: Eukaryota; Fungi
Description: eukaryotic LSU rRNA
Rfam family: 5.8S ribosomal RNA (bases 6-160)
Source: RNAcentral